CGGAAUACGUACACAACCUUCCUUUAAGUGGGGGAUAGCCCAGAGAAAUUUGGAUUAAUACCCCGUAAGAUUAUGAGAUGGCAUCAUUUUAUAAUUAAAGCUCCGGCGCUUGGAGAUGGGUGUGCGGCUGAUUAGGUAGUUGGUGUGGGUAAUGGCCCACCAAGCCUUCGAUCAGUAACUGGUGUGAGAGCACGACCAGUCACACGGGCACUGAGACACGGGCCCG
Molecule: ribosomal RNA, 226 nt
Filed under: uncultured bacterium
Lineage: Bacteria
Description: partial 16S ribosomal RNA
Rfam family: Bacterial small subunit ribosomal RNA
Source: RNAcentral